RNAcentral lists this long non-coding RNA (656 nucleotides) under Carassius auratus (goldfish). RNAcentral's name for it is "lncRNA (ENSCARG00000052373.1)". Lineage: Eukaryota; Metazoa; Chordata; Actinopteri; Cypriniformes; Cyprinidae. The record is from RNAcentral.
GAUGAUGAGGAAUCGUUUUUUUUUCUUCUUUUUUUCAUUUAGAGGUAAUUGGUGAUCAUUUCAUCAAAACCUUCCAAAGGUUUCCAUAUACAUUACAUAUACAAAAUAAUUAUUGUUGCUUCAUUUGAACUAAGCCUAAUGGAGGUUGUAAGAGGUCUUUUUGCCGGCUAUGCAACAGCGACCACUUCACACUCCUUUUUGGACCAAAGGUAGGGCUAUCUGAACUUCUAGUAAUCAUUUUAUUGUAAGAAAUGUGAAAUUGCAUUGAAAUUAUUUGUAUAAAUGUAUAUUAAUAUGAUCUACUACCUCUUCUGUUGUGUCUUCAGCAGUAUGUUCUGUGUUAUCUGGCUCAGUAUUGUACUCUGGUUUGUGUUUUGUUUUUGACAGGUCCAUUGCUGUGUCUGGAAUCAUCUGGAUGGUAUUGGUGCUGGUCUGUGUAACUUCUGGACUUUGUGAUGGCUGUGGCAGUACUUCAGGUGUGGAGGCUGGUGGCCCUUUCCAAAACUGCAGUAAUUGUUGAUGUAAUGGUGAUCAUCUUGAUGUACCUGGCAUGAUUGUCAUUUGGACAAGGGUCAAAGUGUGAACCACCUCAGGAAGGGAUGGGGGUUUUAUUGUUAUUAGCAUUGAUGUGAACACGAGCCAACAGCCACAUUUUA